This 1052-nucleotide ribosomal RNA is filed under the name uncultured bacterium. Its description in RNAcentral is "bacterial SSU rRNA". It matches the Rfam family "Bacterial small subunit ribosomal RNA", at positions 1 to 1047 of the family's 1533-position model. The record is from RNAcentral.
CGAAUUCCAAGCUUAGAGUUUGAUCAUGGCUCAGAUUGAACGCUGGCAGCAUGCCUUACACAUGCAAGUCGAACGGUAACAGGUCUUCGGAUGCUGACGAGUGGCGAACGGGUGAGUAAUACAUCGGAACGUGCCCGAUCGUGGGGGAUAACGGAGCGAAAGCUUUGCUAAUACCGCAUACGAUCUACGGAUGAAAGCGGGGGAUCUUCGGACCUCGCGCGGACGGAGCGGCCGAUGGCAGAUUAGGUAGUUGGUGGGAUAAAAGCUUACCAAGCCGACGAUCUGUAGCUGGUCUGAGAGGAUGAUCAGCCACACUGGGACUGAGACACGGCCCAGACUCCUACGGGAGGCAGCAGUGGGGAAUUUUGGACAAUGGGGGCAACCCUGAUCCAGCCAUGCCGCGUGCAGGAUGAAGGCCUUCGGGUUGUAAACUGCUUUUGUACGGAACGAAAAGACUCUGGUUAAUACCUGGGGUCCAUGACGGUACCGUAAGAAUAAGCACCGGCUAACUACGUGCCAGCAGCCGCGGUAAUACGUAGGGUGCAAGCGUUAAUCGGAAUUACUGGGCGUAAAGCGUGCGCAGGCGGUGAUGUAAGACAGAGGUGAAAUCCCCGGGCUCAACCUGGGAACUGCCUUUGUGACUGCAUCGCUGGAGUGCGGCAGAGGGGGAUGGAAUUCCGCGUGUAGCAGUGAAAUGCGUAGAUAUGCGGAGGAACACCGAUGGCGAAGGCAAUCCCCUGGGCCUGCACUGACGCUCAUGCACGAAAGCGUGGGGAGCAAACAGGAUUAGAUACCCUGGUAGUCCACGCCCUAAACGAUGUCAACUGGUUGUUGGGUUUUAAUUAACUCAGUAACGAAGCUAACGCGUGAAGUUGACCGCCUGGGGAGUACGGCCGCAAGGUUGAAACUCAAAGGAUUGACGGGACCCGCACAAGCGGUGGAUGAUGUGGUUUAAUUCGAUGCAACGCGAAAACCUUACCCACCUUUGACAUGGCAGAAGUCUCAGAGAUGGGAUUGUGCCCGAAAGGGAACCUGCACACAGGUGCUGCAUG